GUUAGAGGCUCAUCAGAGCUAAAGGAAGAAAUGCUCAAUCAUUCUGCCACUUACUUAGCUGAGCUCAGGAUUUCUCGUACGGGCUUCUGGGGGGUUCUGAACGUCCCAGUUCAGGUCUAUGUAUCAGCUGGAGCAGCUUUUCUCCAUUCAUUUGCCUUCUGAGGAUGAUGCUGAAGGGGCAGUCUCAGAGGUUAUGCUGUGUCCUCACAUGGCAGAGAGAGAGUGCUCACAAACUCUCUGGUAUCUCUUCUGAAUUCUGGAAGGUGCCCUAGCCUGAGAAGAGAGAUCACCUGAUCCAACAGCCUUUCCUAAGGAGAGUGAUCUGCCUGUUCUCAAAUGUCUGACAUAUUCUCCAUACCCUGGGCUAUCAUACAUUAAAGUUGCCUUAUUGAGUCUGUAGACUCCAUUUUUUGUUAUGUAUAAUAAAAAGAGGUUUGAGCUAG
This is a long non-coding RNA of Manis pentadactyla (Chinese pangolin), 443 nucleotides long. RefSeq lists it as uncharacterized. The record is from RefSeq and is a predicted model, not a curated record. The transcript is spliced from 3 exons. Lineage: Eukaryota; Metazoa; Chordata; Mammalia; Pholidota; Manidae.